Molecule: transfer RNA, 105 nt
Filed under: Bradyrhizobium oligotrophicum
Lineage: Bacteria; Pseudomonadati; Pseudomonadota; Alphaproteobacteria; Hyphomicrobiales; Nitrobacteraceae
Also listed under: 1 other name
Description: tRNA-Gln
Source: RNAcentral
UUGGGUGGCGCUAUUGGAAAGCCUUGAAUGCGCGUCGACUUAUCUAGCGGACCACGCGGAUUUUGAUUCCGCCAUUCGGAGGUUCGAUCCCUCCCGCCCCAGCCA